Molecule: ribosomal RNA, 445 nt
Filed under: uncultured bacterium
Lineage: Bacteria
Description: partial 16S ribosomal RNA
Rfam family: Bacterial small subunit ribosomal RNA
Source: RNAcentral
UUGAGGAAUAUUGGUCAAUGGACGAGAGUCUGAACCAGCCAAGUCGCGUGAAGGAAGACGGUUCUAUGAAUUGUAAACUUCUUUUGUGCAGGAAUAAAGUGGGUUACGUGUAACCUUUUGUAUGUACUGUACGAAUAAGGAUCGGCUAACUCCGUUCCAGCAGCCGCGGUAAUACGGAGGAUCCGAGCGUUAUCCGGAUUUAUUGGGUUUAAAGGGUUCUGAGGUGGAUUGCUAAGUCAGCGGUGAAAGUUUGCAGCUUAACUGUAAAAUUGCCGUUGAAACUGUCGGUCUUGAGUGCAAAUGAGGUAGGCGGAAUGUGUUGUGUAGCGGUGAAAUGCUUAGAUAUAACACAGAACUCCGAUUGCGAAGGCAGCUUACUGGGAUGCAACUGACACUGAUGCACGAAAGCGUGGGUAUCAAACAGGAUUAGAUACCCGAGUAGUCC